RNAcentral lists this ribosomal RNA (2902 nucleotides) under Escherichia coli HVH 23 (4-6066488). Its description in RNAcentral is "bacterial LSU rRNA". It matches the Rfam family "Bacterial large subunit ribosomal RNA". Lineage: Bacteria; Pseudomonadati; Pseudomonadota; Gammaproteobacteria; Enterobacterales; Enterobacteriaceae. The record is from RNAcentral.
UUAAGCGACUAAGCGUACACGGUGGAUGCCCUGGCAGUCAGAGGCGAUGAAGGACGUGCUAAUCUGCGAUAAGCGUCGGUGAGGUGAUAUGAACCGUUAUAACCGGCGAUUUCCGAAUGGGGAAACCCAGUGUGUUUCGACACACUAUCAUUAACUGAAUCCAUAGGUUAAUGAGGCGAACCGGGGGAACUGAAACAUCUAAGUACCCCGAGGAAAAGAAAUCAACCGAGAUUCCCCCAGUAGCGGCGAGCGAACGGGGAGGAGCCCAGAGCCUGAAUCAGUGUGUGUGUUAGUGGAAGCGUCUGGAAAGGCGUGCGAUACAGGGUGACAGCCCCGUACACAAAAAUGCACAUAUUGUGAGCUCGAUGAGUAGGGCGGGACACGUGGUAUCCUGUCUGAAUAUGGGGGGACCAUCCUCCAAGGCUAAAUACUCCUGACUGACCGAUAGUGAACCAGUACCGUGAGGGAAAGGCGAAAAGAACCCCGGCGAGGGGAGUGAAAAAGAACCUGAAACCGUGUACGUACAAGCAGUGGGAGCCUCUUAAUGGGGUGACUGCGUACCUUUUGUAUAAUGGGUCAGCGACUUAUAUUCUGUAGCAAGGUUAACCGAAUAGGGGAGCCGAAGGGAAACCGAGUCUUAACUGGGCGUUAAGUUGCAGGGUAUAGACCCGAAACCCGGUGAUCUAGCCAUGGGCAGGUUGAAGGUUGGGUAACACUAACUGGAGGACCGAACCGACUAAUGUUGAAAAAUUAGCGGAUGACUUGUGGCUGGGGGUGAAAGGCCAAUCAAACCGGGAGAUAGCUGGUUCUCCCCGAAAGCUAUUUAGGUAGCGCCUCGUGAAUUCAUCUCCGGGGGUAGAGCACUGUUUCGGCAAGGGGGUCAUCCCGACCUACCAACCCGAUGCAAACUGCGAAUACCGGAGAAUGUUAUCACGGGAGACACACGGCGGGUGCUAACGUCCGUCGUGAAGAGGGAAACAACCCAGACCGCCAGCUAAGGUCCCAAAGUCAUGGUUAAGUGGGAAACGAUGUGGGAAGGCCCAGACAGCCAGGAUGUUGGCUUAGAAGCAGCCAUCAUUUAAAGAAAGCGUAAUAGCUCACUGGUCGAGUCGGCCUGCGCGGAAGAUGUAACGGGGCUAAACCAUGCACCGAAGCUGCGGCAGCGACACUAUGUGUUGUUGGGUAGGGGAGCGUUCUGUAAGCCUGUGAAGGUGGCCUGUGAGGGUUGCUGGAGGUAUCAGAAGUGCGAAUGCUGACAUAAGUAACGAUAAAGCGGGUGAAAAGCCCGCUCGCCGGAAGACCAAGGGUUCCUGUCCAACGUUAAUCGGGGCAGGGUGAGUCGACCCCUAAGGCGAGGCCGAAAGGCGUAGUCGAUGGGAAACAGGUUAAUAUUCCUGUACUUGGUGUUACUGCGAAGGGGGGACGGAGAAGGCUAUGUUGGCCGGGCGACGGUUGUCCCGGUUUAAGCGUGUAGGCUGGUUUUCCAGGCAAAUCCGGAAAACCAAGGCUGAGGCGUGAUGACGAGGCACUACGGUGCUGAAGCGACAAAUGCCCUGCUUCCAGGAAAAGCCUCUAAGCAUCAGGUAACAUCAAAUCGUACCCCAAACCGACACAGGUGGUCAGGUAGAGAAUACCAAGGCGCUUGAGAGAACUCGGGUGAAGGAACUAGGCAAAAUGGUGCCGUAACUUCGGGAGAAGGCACGCUGAUAUGUAGGUGAAGCGACUUGCUCGUGGAGCUGAAAUCAGUCGAAGAUACCAGCUGGCUGCAACUGUUUAUUAAAAACACAGCACUGUGCAAACACGAAAGUGGACGUAUACGGUGUGACGCCUGCCCGGUGCCGGAAGGUUAAUUGAUGGGGUUAGCGGCAACGCGAAGCUCUUGAUCGAAGCCCCGGUAAACGGCGGCCGUAACUAUAACGGUCCUAAGGUAGCGAAAUUCCUUGUCGGGUAAGUUCCGACCUGCACGAAUGGCGUAAUGAUGGCCAGGCUGUCUCCACCCGAGACUCAGUGAAAUUGAACUCGCUGUGAAGAUGCAGUGUACCCGCGGCAAGACGGAAAGACCCCGUGAACCUUUACUAUAGCUUGACACUGAACAUUGAGCCUUGAUGUGUAGGAUAGGUGGGAGGCUUUGAAGUGUGGACGCCAGUCUGCAUGGAGCCGACCUUGAAAUACCACCCUUUAAUGUUUGAUGUUCUAACGUUGGCCCGUAAUCCGGGUUGCGGACAGUGUCUGGUGGGUAGUUUGACUGGGGCGGUCUCCUCCUAAAGAGUAACGGAGGAGCACGAAGGUUGGCUAAUCCUGGUCGGACAUCAGGAGGUUAGUGCAAUGGCAUAAGCCAGCUUGACUGCGAGCGUGACGGCGCGAGCAGGUGCGAAAGCAGGUCAUAGUGAUCCGGUGGUUCUGAAUGGAAGGGCCAUCGCUCAACGGAUAAAAGGUACUCCGGGGAUAACAGGCUGAUACCGCCCAAGAGUUCAUAUCGACGGCGGUGUUUGGCACCUCGAUGUCGGCUCAUCACAUCCUGGGGCUGAAGUAGGUCCCAAGGGUAUGGCUGUUCGCCAUUUAAAGUGGUACGCGAGCUGGGUUUAGAACGUCGUGAGACAGUUCGGUCCCUAUCUGCCGUGGGCGCUGGAGAACUGAGGGGGGCUGCUCCUAGUACGAGAGGACCGGAGUGGACGCAUCACUGGUGUUCGGGUUGUCAUGCCAAUGGCACUGCCCGGUAGCUAAAUGCGGAAGAGAUAAGUGCUGAAAGCAUCUAAGCACGAAACUUGCCCCGAGAUGAGUUCUCCCUGACUCCUUGAGAGUCCUGAAGGAACGUUGAAGACGACGACGUUGAUAGGCCGGGUGUGUAAGCGCAGCGAUGCGUUGAGCUAACCGGUACUAAUGAACCGUGAGGCUUAACCUU